UGGGGAAUAUUGCGCAAUGGGGGAAACCCUGACGCAGCGACGCCGCGUGGAGGAAGAAGGCCUUUGGGUUGUAAACUCCUUUGAUCGGGGACGAAGAUGACGGUACCCGAAGAACAAGCCACGGCUAACUACGUGCCAGCAGCCGCGGUAAUACGUAGGUGGCGAGCGUUGUCCGGAAUUACUGGGUGUAAAGGGCGUGUAGGCGGGGUGCCAAGUCAGGUGUGAAAUACCGGGGCUUAACCUCGGGGGUGCAUCUGAAACUGGUGCUCUUGAGUGCCGGAGAGGAAAGCGGAAUUCCCAGUGUAGCGGUGAAAUGCGUAGAUAUUGGGAGGAACACCAGUGGCGAAGGCGGCUUUCUGGACGGUAACUGACGCUGAGGCGCGAAAGCGUGGGGAGCAAACAGG
RNAcentral lists this ribosomal RNA (404 nucleotides) under Acidobacteriota bacterium. RNAcentral describes it as "Acidobacteria bacterium partial 16S ribosomal RNA". It matches the Rfam family "Bacterial small subunit ribosomal RNA", at positions 355 to 776 of the family's 1533-position model. Lineage: Bacteria; Pseudomonadati; Acidobacteriota. The record is from RNAcentral.